GACGAGGCACUACGGUGCUGAAGCAACAAAUGCCCUGCUUCCAGGAAAAGCCUCUAAGCAUCAGGUAACACGAAAUCGUACCCCAAACCGACACAGGUGGUCAGGUAGAGAAUACCAAGGCGCUUGAGAGAACUCGGGUGAAGGAACUAGGCAAAAUGGUGCCGUAACUUCGGGAGAAGGCACGCUGACACGUAGGUGAAGUGAUUUACUCAUGGAGCUGAAGUCAGUCGAAGAUACCAGCUGGCUGCAACUGUUUAUUAAAAACACAGCACUGUGCAAACACGAAAGUGGACGUAUACGGUGUGACGCCUGCCCGGUGCCGGAAGGUUAAUUGAUGGGGUCAGCGUAAGCGAAGCUCCUGAUCGAAGCCCCGGUAAACGGCGGCCGUAACUAUAACGGUCCUAAGGUAGCGAAAUUCCUUGUCGGGUAAGUUCCGACCUGCACGAAUGGCGUAAUGAUGGCCAGGCUGUCUCCACCCGAGACUCAGUGAAAUUGAACUCGCUGUGAAGAUGCAGUGUACCCGCGGCAAGACGGAAAGACCCCGUGAACCUUUACUAUAGCUUGACACUGAACAUUGAGCCUUGAUGUGUAGGAUAGGUGGGAGGCUUUGAAGUGUGGACGCCAGUCUGCAUGGAGCCGACCUUGAAAUACCACCCUUUAAUGUUUGAUGUUCUAACGUGGACCCGUAAUCCGGGUUGCGGACAGUGUCUGGUGGGUAGUUUGACUGGGGCGGUCUCCUCCUAAAGAGUAACGGAGGAGCACGAAGGUUGGCUAAUCCUGGUCGGACAUCAGGAGGUUAGUGCAAUGGCAUAAGCCAGCUUGACUGCGAGCGUGACGGCGCGAGCAGGUGCGAAAGCAGGUCAUAGUGAUCCGGUGGUUCUGAAUGGAAGGGCCAUCGCUCAACGGAUAAAAGGUACUCCGGGGAUAACAGGCUGAUACCGCCCAAGAGUUCAUAUCGACGGCGGUGUUUGGCACCUCGAUGUCGGCUCAUCACAUCCUGGGGCUGAAGUAGGUCCCAAGGGUAUGGCUGUUCGCCAUUUAAAGUGGUACGCGAGCUGGGUUUAGAACGUCGUGAGACAGUUCGGUCCCUAUCUGCCGUGGGCGCUGGAGAACUGAGGGGGGCUGCUCCUAGUACGAGAGGACCGGAGUGGACGCAUCACUGGUGUUCGGGUUGUCAUGCCAAUGGCACUGCCCGGUAGCUAAAUGCGGAAGAGAUAAGUGCUGAAAGCAUCUAAGCACGAAACUUGCCCCGAGAUGAGUUCUCCCUGAGACUUAGAGUCUCCUGAAGGAACGU
Molecule: ribosomal RNA, 1294 nt
Filed under: Salmonella enterica
Lineage: Bacteria; Pseudomonadati; Pseudomonadota; Gammaproteobacteria; Enterobacterales; Enterobacteriaceae
Description: partial 23S ribosomal RNA
Rfam family: Bacterial large subunit ribosomal RNA
Source: RNAcentral